Molecule: ribosomal RNA, 497 nt
Filed under: uncultured bacterium
Lineage: Bacteria
Description: partial 16S ribosomal RNA
Rfam family: Bacterial small subunit ribosomal RNA
Source: RNAcentral
GAUGAACGCUGGCGGCGUGCCUAAUACAUGCAAGUCGAGCGAACAGACGAGGAGCUUGCUCCUCUGACGUUAGCGGCGGACGGGGGAGUAACACGUGGAUAACCUACCUAUAAGACUUGGAUAACUUCGGGAAACCGGAGCUAAUACCGGAUAAUAUAUUGAACCGCAUGGUUCAAUAGUGAAAAACGGUUUUGCUGUCACUUAUAGAUGGAUCCGCGCCGCAUUAGCUAGUUGGUAAGGUAACGGCUUACCAAGGCAACGAUGCGUAGCCGACCUGAGAGGGUGAUCGGCCACACUGGAACUGAGACACGGUCCAGACUCCUACGGGAGGCAGCAGUAGGGAAUCUUCCGCAAUGGGCGAAAGCCUGACGGAGCAACGCCGCGUGAGUGAUGAAGGUCUUCGGAUCGUAAAACUCUGUUAUUAGGGAAGAACAAAUGUGUAAGUAACUAUGCACGUCUUGACGGUACCUAAUCAGAAAGCCACGGCUAACUACGUG